GACGAACGCUGGCGGCGUGCUUAACACAUGCAAGUCGAACGGGCUUUAGUAAACCGAGGCCUCGUUGGAAUAUUACUAAUGAGAGUGGCGAACGGUUGAGUAACUCGUGAUCAACCUGCCUAUAACAGUGGGAUAGCCUCGUGAAACCGGGAUUAAUACUGCAUAAAAUCGUUGAAACACAUGUUUCAACGUUCAAAGAAUUAUCGGUCAUAUAUGGGCUCGCUUCUGAUUAUCUAUAAGGUGAGGUAACACCACACGACGGCGUCUAUCAGUAGACUGUAUGAGAGGCUGAACGGACACAUUGGAACUGAGACACAGUACAAACUCCUACGGGAGGCGGCAGUGGGGAAUAUUGCACAAUGGCGGAAAUCCUGAUGCAGCGACGAUGCGUGAACGAAGAAGGUAUUGAUAUAGUAAAGUGUAGUCAUAUGGGAAGAUAAUGACAGUACCAUAGAAGAAAGCUCCGGCUAAAUACGUG
RNAcentral lists this ribosomal RNA (478 nucleotides) under uncultured bacterium. RNAcentral describes it as "partial 16S ribosomal RNA". It matches the Rfam family "Bacterial small subunit ribosomal RNA", at positions 28 to 507 of the family's 1533-position model. The record is from RNAcentral.